RNAcentral lists this ribosomal RNA (480 nucleotides) under uncultured bacterium. RNAcentral's name for it is "partial 16S ribosomal RNA". It matches the Rfam family "Bacterial small subunit ribosomal RNA", at positions 354 to 796 of the family's 1533-position model. The record is from RNAcentral.
GUAGGGAAUAUUGGGCAAUGGAGGCAACUCUGACCCAGCCAUGCCGCGUGCAGGAAGACGGUCCUCUGGAUUGUAAACUGCUUUUGAAUGGGAAGAACACUACCCUUGCGAGGGUAUUUGACGGUACUAUUAGAAUAAGCACCGGCUAACUCCGUGCCAGCAGCCGCGGUAAUACGGAGGGUGCAAGCGUUAUCCGGAUUUAUUGGGCUUAAAGGGUGCGUAGGCGGCUUUAUAAGUCUGGGUUUAAAGGGUGCGUAGGCGGCGUUAUAGGUCUGGAGUUAAAGGCGGCAGCUUAACUGUACGCAUGCCUUGGAAACUGUGAGGCUUGAGUGACUUGGAGGUAGCUGGAAUUCCCUGUGUAGCGGUGAAAUGCAUAGAUACGGGGAGGAAUACCGAUUGCGAAGGCAUGUUACUACGAGUAAACUGACGCUGAUGCACGAAAGCGUGGUGAUCAAACAGGAUUAGAAACCCGGGUAGUCC